GCCAGCAUGGUGGAAUCGGUAGACACGCUGUCCUCAAAAGACAGUGCCCUCGCGCGUCCAGGUUCGAGUCCUGGUGCUGGCACCA
This 85-nucleotide transfer RNA is filed under the name Nitrospira sp. Its description in RNAcentral is "tRNA-Leu". It matches the Rfam family "tRNA". From Rfam's summary of the family: Transfer RNA (tRNA) molecules are approximately 80 nucleotides in length. Their secondary structure includes four short double-helical elements and three loops (D, anti-codon, and T loops). The record is from RNAcentral. Lineage: Bacteria; Pseudomonadati; Nitrospirota; Nitrospiria; Nitrospirales; Nitrospiraceae.